This 253-nucleotide ribosomal RNA is filed under the name uncultured bacterium. Its description in RNAcentral is "partial 16S ribosomal RNA". It matches the Rfam family "Bacterial small subunit ribosomal RNA", at positions 524 to 776 of the family's 1533-position model. The record is from RNAcentral.
UACGUAGGGCGCAAGCGUUGUCCGGAAUUAUUGGGCGUAAAGAGCUCGUAGGUGGCCUGUCGCGUCGGCUGUGAAAACUCGGGGCUCAACUCCGAGCUUGCAGUCGAUACGGGCAGGCUAGAGUUCGGCAGGGGAGACUGGAAUUCCUGGUGUAGCGGUGAAAUGCGCAGAUAUCAGGAAGAACACCCGUGGCGAAAGCGGCUCUCUGGAACGGUACUGACGCUGAGACGCGAAAGCGUGGGGAGCGAACAGG